Molecule: ribosomal RNA, 490 nt
Filed under: uncultured bacterium
Lineage: Bacteria
Description: partial 16S ribosomal RNA
Rfam family: Bacterial small subunit ribosomal RNA
Source: RNAcentral
AUUGAACGCUGGCGGCAGGCCUAACACAUGCAAGUCGAACGGUAACAGGAAGAAGCUUGCUUCUUUGCUGACGAGUGGCGGACGGGUGAGUAAUGUCUGGGAAACUGCCUGAUGGAGGGGGAUAACUACUGGAAACGGUAGCUAAUACCGCGUAAUGUCGCAAGACCAAAGAGGGGGACCUUCGGGCCUCUUGCCAUCGGAUGUGCCCAGAUGGGCUUGGCUAGUAGGUGGGGUAACGGCUCACCUAGGCGACGAUCCGUAGCUGGUCUGAGAGGAUGACCAGCCACACUGGAACUGAGACACGGUCCAGACUCCUACGGGAGGCAGCAGUGGGGAAUAUUGCACAAUGGGCGCAAGCCUGAUGCAGCUAGGCCGCGUGUAUGAAGAAGGCCUUCGGGUUGUAAAGUACUUUCAGCGGGGAGGAAGGGAGUAAAGUUAAUACCUUUGCUCAUUGACGUUACCCGCAGAAGAAGCACCGGCUAACUCCGUG